Molecule: ribosomal RNA, 459 nt
Filed under: uncultured bacterium
Lineage: Bacteria
Description: partial 16S ribosomal RNA
Rfam family: Bacterial small subunit ribosomal RNA
Source: RNAcentral
CCUACGGGUGACAGCAGUGAGGAAUAUUGGUCAAUGGGCGAGAGUCUGACCCAGCCAAGUCGCGUGAGGGAGUACUGCCCUAUGGGUUGUAAACUUCUUUUGUAGGGGAGUAAAAGCCGGACGUUUCCGGCUGUUAGAUUACCCGUAUAAAAACAAACAGCCACCUCCGACUCCGUACCAGCGGUAACACGUAGGUGGCGAGCGUUAUCCGGAUUGAUUGGGAGUAAAGGGACCGCAGGCGGUCCUGCAAGUCUGGAGUGAAAAGCAUGGGCUCAACAGAUGCAUGGCAUUGGAAACUGGGAGACUUGAGAGCAGGAGAGGACGGUGGAACUCCAUGUGUAGCGGUGAAAUGCGUAGAUAUAUGGAAGAACACCAGUGGCGAAGGCGGCCGACUGGCCUGUUGCUGACGCUGAGGCACGAAAGCGUGGGGAGCAAAUAGGAUUAGAUACCCCUGUAGUC